RNAcentral lists this ribosomal RNA (253 nucleotides) under uncultured bacterium. Its description in RNAcentral is "partial 16S ribosomal RNA". It matches the Rfam family "Bacterial small subunit ribosomal RNA", at positions 524 to 776 of the family's 1533-position model. The record is from RNAcentral.
UACGUAGGUGGCAAGCGUUGUCCGGAUUUACUGGGCGUAAAGAGCGCGCAGGCGGUCGUUCAAGUCGCGUGUGAAAGCCCCCGGCUCAACUGGGGAGGGUCACGCGAUACUGAUCGACUGGAAGGCAGGAGAGGGUAGUGGAAUUCCCGGUGUAGUGGUGAAAUGCGUAGAUAUCAGGAAGAACACCCGUGGCGAAGGCGGAUCUCUGGGACGGUAAUGACGCUGAGACGCGAAAGCGUGGGGAGCAAACAGG